This 440-nucleotide ribosomal RNA is filed under the name uncultured organism. Its description in RNAcentral is "bacterial SSU rRNA". It matches the Rfam family "Bacterial small subunit ribosomal RNA", at positions 346 to 773 of the family's 1533-position model. The record is from RNAcentral.
GUGCAGCAGUCGCGAAUUUUUCUCAAUGGGGGCAACCCUGAAGGAGCGACGCCGCGUGGAGGAUGAAGGCUUCUGGGUUGUAAACUCCUGUCAUUUGAGAACAAGUGUGAGCAAGUAACUACUGCUCAUUUGAUAGUAUCAGAAGAGGAAGGGACGGCUAACUCUGUGCCAGCAGCCGCGGUAAUACAGAGGUCCCAAGCGUUGUUCGGAUUCAUUGGGCGUAAAGGGUGCGUAGGUGGCGCCGUAAGUGGGGUGUGAAAUUUCGGAGCUUAACUCCGAAACUGCAUUCCAUACUGCGGUGCUUGAGGACUGGAGAGGAGACUGGAAUUCAUGGUGUAGCAGUGAAAUGCGUAGAGAUCAUGAGGAAGACCAGGUGGCGAAGGCGGGUCUCGUGGACAGUUCCUGACACUGAGGCAACGAAGGCGUAGGGGAGACGAAAC